RNAcentral lists this long non-coding RNA (357 nucleotides) under Drosophila guanche. Lineage: Eukaryota; Metazoa; Arthropoda; Insecta; Diptera; Drosophilidae. The record is from RNAcentral.
GCCAGCAGGAAGUGGCUCGAACAGGUUCAAGGAUCCGCUGGCGUACCGGAAUCGGUUUUUUUCAAUGCACGUGCCCAUUGUCGUAUUGGCAAAUUUUGAAUUCUUGCUCGUUUCGCGUUUUUGGAUGAUCGACCAAUCGGUGGGUGGGUCGCUCUGUGGGUCAGUCGACCCAGCGCACGUUUUAUGAUUGUUGCUGUUGCACCUGCUGCUCCUCUCCCCUCCCUACAUAGCAUGAAACGCAUGGAAAUUUACCCGAAUCGAUUGGAGGAAACGUUUUAUUUGGGGCUCGGUGCAAGCGCCACUUAAAUGAAUUGCAUAUUUGUGCUCUGCUCUGCGCUGCAUCUCUUUCUAUCGUUC